AAACGGCUACUACAUCUACGGAAGGCAGCAGGCGCGUAAAUUACCCAAUCCUAAAUCGGGGAGGUAGUGACAAGAUAUAACAACGCGACCAAAAAUCGCGAUUGUAGUGAGGGUAUUCUAAACAUAGCUUCGAGUACGAUUGGAGGGCAGGUCUGGUGCCAGCAGCCGCGGUAAUUCCAGCUCCAAUAGCGUAUAUUAAAGUUGUUGCAGUUAAAAAGCUCGUAGUUGGACUUCAAGAAUCGCAUCUGGGCAACCAGCAUGCAUUCUACCAGCCCUAGGCUGUUACUGUGAGAAAAUUAGAGUGUUUCAAGCAGGCUAUUGCAGGAAUACAUUAGCAUGGAAUAACGAAUGUGUCUACAAUUUGGUUGAUUGUAGGUUACAAUUAAUAGGGACAGUUGGGGGCAUUAGUAUUUAAUAGUCAGAGGUGAAAUUCUUGGAUUUGUUAAAGACUAACGUAUGCGAAAGCAUUUGCCAAGGAUGUUUUCAUUAAUCAAGAACGAAAGAUAGGGGAUCAAAGACGAUCAGAUACCGUCGUAGUCCUAUCUAUAAACUAUGCCGACUAGGGAUUAGUGCGGUCAGUACCGCAUUAGUACCUUAUGAGAAAUCAAAGUCUUUGGGUUCUGGGGGGAGUAUGGUCGCAAGACUGAAACUUAAAGAAAUUGACGGAAGGGCACCACCAGGAGUGGAGCCUGCGGCUUAAUUUGACACAACACGGGGAAACUUACCAGGUCCGGACGCAGUGAGGAUUGACAGAUUGAUAGCUCUUUCUUGAUUCUGUGGGUGGUGGUGCAUGGCCGUUCUUAGUUGGUGGAGUGAUUUGUCUGGUUAAUUCCGAUAACGAACGAGACCUUAACCUGCUAAAUAGUUACGCCAAUUUUAUUGGUGUCGACUUCUUAGAGGGACUAUGUCACGUUGAGUGCAUGGAAGUUUGAGGCAAUAACAGGUCUGUGAUGCCCUUAUAUGUCCUGGGCUGCACGCGUGCUACACUGAUGCAUACAACAAGUUCCUAGCUCGAAAGGGUACGGCAAUCUCGAAUAUGCAUCGUGAUGGGGAUAGAUCUUUGCAAUUAUAGAUCUUGAACGAGGAAUUCCUAGUAAAUGUAAGUCAUCAUCUUACAUUGAUUAUGUCCCUGCCCUUUGUACACACCGCCCGUCGCUCCUACCGAUACCGGGUGUUGUGCUGAACCUAUUGGACCUGAAAAGGAAAGAUAUGUAAAGCUUAACACCUAGAGGAAGGAGAAGUCGUAACAAGGUUUCCGUAGGUGAACCUGCGGAAG
This 1276-nucleotide ribosomal RNA is filed under the name metagenome. Its description in RNAcentral is "SSU rRNA". It matches the Rfam family "Eukaryotic small subunit ribosomal RNA", at positions 401 to 1823 of the family's 1831-position model. The record is from RNAcentral.